RNAcentral lists this ribosomal RNA (253 nucleotides) under uncultured bacterium. Its description in RNAcentral is "partial 16S ribosomal RNA". It matches the Rfam family "Bacterial small subunit ribosomal RNA", at positions 524 to 776 of the family's 1533-position model. The record is from RNAcentral.
UACGUAGGCAGCGAGCGUUGUUCGGAGUUACUGGGCGUAAAGCGUGCGUAGGCGGUGCUCCAAGUCUGUUGUGAAGUCUCCCGGCUUAACUGGGAGGGUGCGGCGGAAACUGGGGUGCUGGAGUGCGGGAGAGGUAAGCGGAAUUCCCGGUGUAGCGGUAAAAUGCGUAGAUAUCGGGAGGAACACCUGCGGUGUAGACGGCUUACUGGACCGUAACUGACGCUGAGGCACGAAAGCGUGGGGAGCAAACAGG